RNAcentral lists this ribosomal RNA (1053 nucleotides) under uncultured Propionibacterium sp. RNAcentral describes it as "bacterial SSU rRNA". It matches the Rfam family "Bacterial small subunit ribosomal RNA", at positions 336 to 1397 of the family's 1533-position model. Lineage: Bacteria; Bacillati; Actinomycetota; Actinomycetes; Propionibacteriales; Propionibacteriaceae. The record is from RNAcentral.
CUCCUACGGGAGGCAGCAGUGGGGAAUAUUGCACAAUGGGCGGAAGCCUGAUGCAGCAACGCCGCGUGCGGGAUGACGGCCUUCGGGUUGUAAACCGCUUUCGCCUGUGACGAAGCGUGAGUGACGGUAAUGGGUAAAGAAGCACCGGCUAACUACGUGCCAGCAGCCGCGGUGAUACGUAGGGUGCGAGCGUUGUCCGGAUUUAUUGGGCGUAAAGGGCUCGUAGGUGGUUGAUCGCGUCGGAAGUGUAAUCUUGGGGCUUAACCCUGAGCGUGCUUUCGAUACGGGUUGACUUGAGGAAGGUAGGGGAGAAUGGAAUUCCUGGUGGAGCGGUGGAAUGCGCAGAUAUCAGGAGGAACACCAGUGGCGAAGGCGGUUCUCUGGGCCUUUCCUGACGCUGAGGAGCGAAAGCGUGGGGAGCGAACAGGCUUAGAUACCCUGGUAGUCCACGCUGUAAACGGUGGGUACUAGGUGUGGGGUCCAUUCCACGGGUUCCGCGCCGUAGCUAACGCUUUAAGUACCCCGCCUGGGGAGUACGGCCGCAAGGCUAAAACUCAAAGGAAUUGACGGGGCCCCGCACAAGCGGCGGAGCAUGCGGAUUAAUUCGAUGCAACGCGUAGAACCUUACCUGGGUUUGACAUGGAUCGGGAGUGCUCAGAGAUGGGUGUGCCUCUUUUGGGGUCGGUUCACAGGUGGUGCAUGGCUGUCGUCAGCUCGUGUCGUGAGAUGUUGGGUUAAGUCCCGCAACGAGCGCAACCCUUGUUCACUGUUGCCAGCACGUUAUGGUGGGGACUCAGUGGAGACCGCCGGGGUCAACUCGGAGGAAGGUGGGGAUGACGUCAAGUCAUCAUGCCCCUUAUGUCCAGGGCUUCACGCAUGCUACAAUGGCUGGUACAGAGAGUGGCGAGCCUGUGAGGGUGAGCGAAUCUCGGAAAGCCGGUCUCAGUUCGGAUUGGGGUCUGCAACUCGACCUCAUGAAGUCGGAGUCGCUAGUAAUCGCAGAUCAGCAACGCUGCGGUGAAUACGUUCCCGGGGCUUGUACACACCGCCCGU